GACCGAGUAAGCUAACUCAACAAGCUAGUGGGCUCAUAACCCAAAAAUGAUAUUCUAUUCCUCUGUCA
This 68-nucleotide transfer RNA is filed under the name Rectidens sumatrensis. RNAcentral describes it as "tRNA-Met". The record is from RNAcentral. Lineage: Eukaryota; Metazoa; Mollusca; Bivalvia; Unionida; Unionidae.